AGCCAGUGUGGUAUAGUGGUUUGAGUGUUGGACUACAACUUUGGAGGGGAUGGUUCAAAUCCCUUCUUGGCUA
Molecule: non-coding RNA, 73 nt
Organism: Phrynosoma platyrhinos (Desert horned lizard)
Lineage: Eukaryota; Metazoa; Chordata; Lepidosauria; Squamata; Phrynosomatidae
Source: the annotation of a GenBank genome assembly